CAGUCGCCGCGGUAAUACGGAGGAUCCAAGCGUUAUCCGGAAUCAUUGGGUUUAAAGGGUCCGUAGGCGGUCUUGUAAGUCAGUGGUGAAAGCCCAUCGCUCAACGGUGAAACGGCCAUUGAUACUGCAGGACUUGAAUUAUUGGGAAGUAACUAGAAUAUGUAGUGUAGCGGUGAAAUGCUUAGAGAUUACAUGGAAUACCAAUUGCGAAGGCAGGUUACUACCAAUUGAUUGACGCUGAUGGACGAAAGCGUGGGUAGCGAACAGGAUUAGAUACCUCCGUAGUCCCUGUCUCUUAUAC
This 301-nucleotide ribosomal RNA is filed under the name uncultured bacterium. RNAcentral describes it as "partial 16S ribosomal RNA". It matches the Rfam family "Bacterial small subunit ribosomal RNA", at positions 509 to 807 of the family's 1533-position model. The record is from RNAcentral.